AUUAUUGGGUCGACAAGGACGGCGACUAGGAGGAUUACAGACUGGAAGAGCCCUUCUGGGUGUCCCUCUCCUGUAUCCUUGACCCAUCUCUUAUCUGGGACUCCCACUCUCUCCAUCCAUCUAAGCCAGAAAUUCACCUAUCACGGUCUGGAACCUGAACCAUGACAAACGAGGGACGACUGUUUUACAAAAUGCUAAGCAAUCAGACCAGAGUACCAGAUUACAAGUGUGGGUAUAGUCUACACACUCCUGAAGCUUGCUGUACCCACCAGUCAGUCUGCUGUCCAGCACCACUCCAGCAGGUACCAUCUCAGGUAGCUCCAGCAACAUU
Dunckerocampus dactyliophorus (ringed pipefish) is the source of this 331-nucleotide long non-coding RNA. RefSeq lists it as uncharacterized. Lineage: Eukaryota; Metazoa; Chordata; Actinopteri; Syngnathiformes; Syngnathidae. The record is from RefSeq and is a predicted model, not a curated record. The transcript has 3 exons.